CCUUAUGCAUGCUAGAACUGCUAUUGAUUAUGAAAAGAAGGCAAACAUUGAGUUGGUGGAGCAGAGACAGGCAAUGGAGAAGAACAUGAUUUCUAUGGCACGUGAAGUUGAAAAGCUACGGGCUGAACUUGCUAGUGCUGAUGCUCGACCCUGGGUUACUGGUGGGCCAUAUGGGAUGAAGUUCGGUAAUCCAGAGAGGGGAAUUCCUGCACCUUAUGGGGAUCGAUAUGGGGUUCAUGUGGUUGCUGCUGACAAGGGUCCUUUGUAUGGCCCUGGUCCUGCUUCAUGGGAUAAGACCCAUAUGCCUCGUCGUUGAGAUGGUUGCUGUUCAAAUUUAAAAGGGCAAAGUUGUUAUUGUGGCUGCCUAUUAUCCUGUUGAAUAUCUCAGUAGGCGAGAAGUACCUUUCAUCUUUGUGUGCAUGCCAACCAGUACUCUUUUAUCUGAAUACAUUAUUGAAAACUGGUUGUGAAGGCAGAGAAAGUCAGGUAUUUUCUUUUUUUUAUUACUAUUGCUUUUUUUUUAUACCAGCCCUUCCACCUAGGAGUGAGCAGUAUUCGGCUCAGACCAAAAUAACCAACCGAACCGAAUAAAUUCAGAAAUUUGUUUCGGUUCAUUUGAAAAAUCGAUUUGGUUUCGAUUUUUAAAAUUUGCAGUUUAUUCAAUUUGGUUCGGCUUUUAAAGAUGAAAAAAAUUGGUCGAACCAAACUGAGCCAAAAUAAAUAUUAUUUAAAAAGUCCUAUUAUUCUUAUGUAGCAUGUGGCUUAGUGGCUAAGAGGUGAUAUAAACCCGACAAGUUCUAGUCUUGCAAUCUGCAUCAUGCUUUUUUGUUUUAACAACUUAACUUUCUAAAUAAAUAACGUCUGUCCAUUUAAAAAGAUUUGAGCCGAUAAAUCAUUAUUAUAUAUUUAUAAGUUUCUCACUUCUUAUUCUCAGAAAACCUUAGCCACCCAUGCCUAACGCCACCUCUGUUCAUCUCCCUCUUCUCCCUUCUUUUCCUCUCUUCUACUCCUCUUCGUUUCAUCUUAUUUUUGUCCUCAUUUCGCCGCAUAGAAAUUAGAAAGGCCAUUGACGCCGCUGCCAUAGAGAAAGGCCAUCGAUGCCGCUGCACCUCAUUUCUGUUCUUCUAUUCUUUGUGUUCUUCAAGGGAUUUGGAGGACCUUUGAGGUCUACAGUGUCACAGUUUAUUUGCGAGAGAUUUGAAGGACCUAUAGUCUGCGUCCAUGUUUAGAUUCGGAGGAUCAACAGUUCUUGGUUGUUUUGAUUUACUGAAUUUUGAGAUGUGUAUUUAGUUGUUAUGCUGAUAAUUUAUCAGGGCCUAUUUGACAACUCUUUUAACUAUUUUCCUAUUUUAUAAUCUGGAAUUUAACUGGUUCACUAAAAGUUUUUGUUAAAAUUAAAAUAAUGCUGUUCAUCAAUUUGUAAUUUUUUGGUUGUGAUUUGAGCAUCAAAAAAAGAAUGGAGAUUUGAAACCAAUUUAUUUUGAUUUGAUUCGGUUCGGUUUAUAAAUUUAUGCGAAAUUCGGUUUUAAGUUUAUUCGGUUUGAUUCAAGCUCGGUCCAAACUUCUAGCCCCACAAGGCAGCUUGACACUGCAUUACCCCACUUCUGUCAUGGAGGAGGUGCCAUCAAAACAAAGAACCACAGAAAGGGAGGUUUUAGUCUUCUGUUUUAUGUAUAUAUAAAGCAAGUUUUCUGUUUUCAAUAAUGAUUUAAUCGGGAAAAACGACUGCUGAUAUGAUUUAUUUCUAAAAAGGAAUGAGAGUAAUUUAGGGGUGAGCAUUAAUUGGUUAAUAACGACUGAGAUUUGGUUAAUUAUUUUGGUUCAAUUUUGGCUCAAUUUGGUUUAAAAUUUUAAUCAAUCUUGCUUUUUGGUUUUCAAUUUGGUUGAGUUUCUCAGAACAGAACAAGUUGAUUAUUCUGUUUCGAUUUAUUUGAGAGAGUAGCAGAUGAAUUUGAGAAAAGUGAAAUAACCUUACUUCCACUCCUUUUAUUUUAUCAUUUCUCCUCAUUCACUACCACCCCUCCCAUUCUUUCCAACAUGGUGUUACCUUAUCGCUCUAUCUCUGUCGGUGUGAUGGUGCCGCCUUCUCUUCUGCCACUCCUCUUGCUCAAUCUUUGCAUGUUGCUGCCAUCUCUCUCUCCAUUGCCGCUCUCAUUCUUACUCUUAGGCAAGCAUGUGUUAAUCAAGAUUUAGUGCUUAUUUUAAGUCAUUAAUUGAUAAUUGUAUUUGGGUGUCAGUUAUGUUCUGU
RNAcentral lists this unclassified non-coding RNA (2248 nucleotides) under Hevea brasiliensis (rubber tree). The record is from RNAcentral. Lineage: Eukaryota; Viridiplantae; Streptophyta; Magnoliopsida; Malpighiales; Euphorbiaceae.